ACUCGAUAAGCAUCACAGCUGAAUCUGAAUCUGGUCAAACUGUCACUCUACUGUGUCGAGCUCAAAGCAACAAGCCCAUUGACACUGUAACAUGGAACAGGUCUGACAUAGCAGACAAAAAUGUCCUGAAGUACCACGGUCAGCAACUUCUUCUAUCAUACCAGCAUCCAUCUUUUAAGAACCGGGUGGAUAUGCAGAACAGACAGAUGAAGGAUGGAGACGUGUCUUUGAUUCUGAAGGACGUGAUGAUUAAUGACGCUGGAACGUACGAGUGUCGUGUCAUUCAGAGAGGAAUAAACCAAGAGGAGCUCAUCAGCAUCAUCACACUGAGUGUUAUUGUUCCUCCAGUUGUUACCCUCCACGGCUAAAUAAAGGACGAAAUCAGUUUCAGUAAUGUACUGAUGUACAUGGACAUUAGAGAGUCAUUUCAAAGACAAAAACUCAGCAAAAGAGGGAGAGAGAGGAACAGAGAGGGAGAUGGAGAAUGAGGACAGAACAGAGAUGGAACAAGAGCAGUGUUUCAGUGUAAAGAUGGCUGCAACAAGCACAAAGCGGCGUGCAGGUGAGAGAGAUCUGGUGGUAGACGAUUAACUUGUUCCAUUUUGUUUUACAGCACAGUGUUCAGUUCACUUUGAUUCAACUGUUUAUCCAUCCAAGCACGGCAAUUCUUUUAAAGGAGAAAUGAAAACAUUAUUCUUUUCUUUUUAUGCAUGAUUUUGGAGUAAUGGUUAUUAGUAGUUGGAUCAAUAGUUUAUUUUUAGUUUUUUUUAGUUUUUUUGGUUAUUCGUGCAUGUAUUAGGCAACAUUAUAAUAAAACACAGACUAUGUUUUCUUGGCUAUGCAGAGAUAAUUGUAUAUUUAUAUAUGAAGAAAGGCCUAUUUAACUGCAGGCACGCCUUAAAGCUUUUAAUUUCCAAAUUCAGACAAAAUUGAGGUUGCAGUAUUUGUCCCUAAAAAUCCCAGAAAUAUGGUGUCCAACCAGAUAUUUACAGAACUGAAUGGGGUAUACCAUGCAUCUUUUUCUCCCAACAAUGUCCCUGAGCUAUCCCGGGAAAUCCUAAGAUGCUCACAGGCCAGAUGAGAUGAUGUCAUCCCUUUAAUUUGUAACAUUUUAACAGUUUUAAUUUCUGAAACAAAGGCUUAGCAUAUGGUGAAAAUGCCAAAACAAUGCACUGUUAAUCUGGUGGAAACACUUGUAAGCACCAAGUAUUAGCAGUAGAUGGCAGCAGUCUUUAAAUAUGAUUUCUGUCCAUUUAAACAAAUGAAAUAUGCAUUGUAACAGACAGAGGGCAAAAUGUGUGGAGUCCAGCAGUGCACUAGUUGCUGAUCUUUUUCUUUUGUAUUACAGAAUAAAAUAAUAAUAAAGCAGCCUGCCACAUUUUUGUUGAACAGCAAACUGCACAGAAAAGUUCAGCAUGAACAUUUACAUUAUUUGAUCACUUCUGACUUCCAAUUAUAAAGUAUUUCAGUCCAAACAUUCAAUUCUCUAAUUAACGUUUCCUUAAAUUCAAAGCAGUUGUUUCAAGUUGUUACAACAACUUUCAAAUUCAGAGUACACACACACUGUAAAAUGUAAUAUUGUGUUUAAUUAAAAAUAUUAAAUAGGCUGAACUCAAUUUUUAUCAAUUUGUUAUUAGAACUCAA
Oreochromis aureus is the source of this 1644-nucleotide long non-coding RNA. RefSeq lists it as uncharacterized. The record is from RefSeq and is a predicted model, not a curated record. The transcript is spliced from 4 exons. Lineage: Eukaryota; Metazoa; Chordata; Actinopteri; Cichliformes; Cichlidae.